Long non-coding RNA from Triticum aestivum (bread wheat), 842 nucleotides. RefSeq lists it as uncharacterized. Lineage: Eukaryota; Viridiplantae; Streptophyta; Magnoliopsida; Poales; Poaceae. The transcript has 2 exons. The record is from RefSeq and is a predicted model, not a curated record.
ACCACAUAUUUUCUGGAAUGUUAAAACUCAACAGAAAAAAAAGGGCUGAAAAGCGGUGGCCCAAUCUUAUGCAAAUGGGCCACGCUGGGGAAGCCAGCCUAGGGCCGGCCUGGUCAGCAAAUUGGAUAAGGAGCAAGCGGCCAGGGAUAGCGAUCCCCAGCAGCAUCCAUCCCCAAUCCCCACGACCGACGCGGGAGGCGACUGCCAUGGCCGGUCGGCCGUUUCUCCGGCAACUCGUGGAGAGACCACGACCCGGGCGGAACGCCACCGAGCCUCGCGUUGGAGGCCGGAGAAGGCUGUGCCAGAGGACUCCGGGGAGGGCGUGCCGGCCCGAUUGGGCACAGGCGGAGACGCCCACGGCCGGUCGGCCGCACCACCGGCGGCAUGAGGAUCUCCCGCCCCGCUCGUCCUCGGAGUAGGCGCGACGCGUUGGAGGCGCCAUUCAAGAGUCCGAGUGCCUCUGGGCUCCAUGUGCCAGAGCGGCCGGAGCGCGGUGCAUGGCGCAAUGCGGGCGGCAGCCGGGCGCAGGGCGCGACGCGACGCGGACGGGCGCGGGCGCUCCACACGGGAGGGUGCAUCCAACGGCGCGGGCGCGUGCAGCGCGGUGGCCAUUCUGUCCCGUGGAGGAGCAGCCAAGGCGCACGGACGGGGGCGCCGCUAGCGAUGUGAUGAAAAGCAGCAGCAGUUGCCGCUCGAUCCAGUGCAAGAAAUCACUCCGGAAGAUGAAAUAGAGAUCUUUGAUUGAUGGCAAGAAGAAGAAAAGAAAGAAAAUGGACAAUGUCCUGAUCCAGUUUUCCUGUUUACGGAUGCACCAGGUCAAUGUCGAUGCAUCUUGUGUGAUU